AUGGGUGCAGGGGCCCAAGGAUUUGUCCCUCUUCUGCAGAGAGCUGCACCGGAAGUGGAGCAGCCGGGACUCGAACCUGCGCCCAUGUGGAUGCAGGCGCUGCGGGCGGUGGCUUUACCCGCUCCCCCACAGCGCCGGCCCCUCCUGGGAGCCUUUCCCCGUGGGAUCCAGCUGUCUGCUGCCAUGCCUAGGAAAGCAGAGGGAGACGGCCCAAGGACUCAGGCCCCUGAACCCAGAGUGGAGCACCAGAUACAGUCCCCGGCUUCUGCUUCGGCCCGGCCUGGCCCCGGCCUUAGUAGCCACCUGGGGGUUGAACCCCCAGAGGGACGAUCCGUGAGAGAGAGCAAGACGCAAGAGUGCUCGCGAUGCCCGGUGCUCUGCUUCUCUCCCCAAGCGGCUCCAACGCCAGCGCCGGGCCAGGCAGAAGCCAGGAGGCUUGACCUCCAUUCAGGGCGCCCAGGAGGCCGGGAGGCGUGGUCCUGGGUCACAGGCUGGAGAGGCCGCCCCGCCAGCGGCCCUGGGGCGUCGGACGCUGGACGCGGCAGGCAGUGCGCAGGUGCGUCCGGUGGCGCCACGGUGGCCACCCGUGGGGAGUGCGCCUGCGCCCGGCGCUGUGCCCCGGAAGUGGCCCCUUGUGCCCCGGAAGUGGCCCCUUGUGGCCCGCGGCGCUCAGGUAGGAGUCCUCGCGGGUCCCGUCCGCUGCUGCCGGAGAGCCCGCGCGAGCCGUCGGGAGCAGGCCUGGACGCUGCCGGCGGAGCCUGCGGGAGACCCAGCGCCCCCGGGGUCAGGCCGGGCUCAGAGAGGCUGCGGCCCGAGGCUGCCGCGCCGUUUCCCGGGCACGGUUCUCUUCUUCGGCCCUUCGUGGAAGCAGCGGCCUUCGCGGGCCCCUGUGCCGCCAGCAGACCGGGCCCCCUUGGCAGUACAUCUCCUGCUCAGCCAUCCUCAGAUGGAAGUCUGCUCCUCAUCUGUUCCUGCCCAAAAGCCUGUUCAAGUCUUGAGGAGCCGUCCUCGAUGCUGUUGGCGGAGCCUGAGUGAGACCCAGUGCUCUGGGGUCAGGCCUGAAUCAGAGACACUGCAGCCCGGGACAGCCGCAUCAGUUACCUUGCCCUUCUGGAAAUGUGUAGGCGCGGGCCUCUUCUUGGGCAGCUUCCGGAAGUCUACCCCUCGGGCCUCGGCUCCUGUUCCAGAGGAGCAGAAACGCUUUUUGUUUGCUGAGUUGGGCGCGAUGGCCUUCCCGUCGUCGCGGGGUAGGUGGGGCCUGGGGUGCAGGUAGCAGGCAAGGGGUGUGCAUGUGAGGGGUGGAGGGGAGAGGAGGAGGAGAGAGGCGGCCAAGGGAGAUUCGGGAGGAGAGAGGAAGGGGGGAGAAGGAAAAGGUGGCGUGAAGGUGGGGUGGCGUGGAAGGAAGGGGAAGGAAGGGUGUGGGGCAGCGUCGAGGGAGGGCGAGUGUGACAGGAGUGCCGGUGGGCGGGUGGAGGCGGGGGUUGGGAGAGGAAGAACUUUUCCCACGGCCCGGGUUCCGUUUUGGGGGUUUCCUGGCCCUGGCCGGAAUCAGUCUUGGCCGCGUCCGUGAGAAGCCUCUUAGACACACACUUGAGUGUCCUGCAGGUACCGCAGACUUCCUGUUCCAUUCAAACCUGCUCCACACAUUGCACUGAUCUCUGUAUUGGCGGCUCCAUCUGACUUGCCUUCCAAGUUGGCAAGCUUGGCAGCACCCUCUUUACCAGCAUCUGUCUCCUAGUAGUCACCGAAUCUAUGUCAGUGGUGGCUCAGGUCCUACACAAGCCCUCAGGACGAGGCUGCCUGCUGCCAAGUCUCAUUGCUCUCCGGAUUCUUUCUUCCAGGCUUUUCUGCUUCAGGCCUGCAUACCUAGAAAGCACAGGGGACUGUCUGAUCUUUUCUCAUCUCCUCUUGCAUACUUUCAAAAGCCCUAAUCCCUUAGGGGGGCAUUCCAAGGCCUUGUUCUCAGGUCUGUUCACAGCUUCCUUUUCCAAGCUGCACAGCCCCUGCUUCUGUCAUGCCAGACUUGCCACUGCUCUGCAGAUAGGCAGCCACUACUUGAUGUUCCUCAGUGUUUUCAGCUUGAGAAAGUGGUAGCCAUGUUUCAAAAUAUCCAACUCAAGGGUCUUCCUUCUCUGUGAUACUUUUCUCUCAUCCUCCCAGGCAGGGAUACGUUUCCAGAACUUGCAUAACACACUGCUUAUCUUCGUAAAGCGCUUAGCCCAUUUUAUCAGCAUGUAUUUGCUAAAUACCUGUAUCUCAUAGAAGACUGUGAGCUUGUCCAGGGCAGGCCUUUUCUCUCUGCUUUCAUUCCUGUAGUCCCUGGUACACAGUUGGUAUUCAGCCUAUGCAGAACUAACAAUACACUCACUGGUGGGUCUUGGGACAGGAACUGAUGGUUUAUGAAGGGUCUGGUCUCAAGAACAAGGGCACGAGGGCCAAGGAAGGAGACAGCAACAGAAUCAGCAUUCUUGAAGCACUUUCACUUGUCAGGGUUCUUAGUGUACCAUCGUCUCAUUUCUAAAUAACAGCACAAGGAGGGAAAGCAAGAGUUUUAUUUAAUUAUACCACAUUGUACUGUUUAAUCCUCUUCAAAGCUCUGUGAGGAAGGCACUGCUGAUCCCCUUUGAAAUAGGAGGCUAAAGGAGGUGGGCACCUGCCCUAGGCCAUAUAUCAAAAACAGUAAAGCCCCAGUUUAAAACCUGCUCUGCUGUGUCCCUCCUGGGGUUGGAACCCCAGGUUCCAGUAGUUCUAGAGGUGGCGUAUCAGAGAGGUGUAGCUCAUGAAAACCAGUGGUACUUUUCUUUUGGGCUUGUCUUUGUAUGGAGCAGAACCACAGGCACUUGUCCUAUGUUACUAAGGACCCUUCUUAAUAACUCUUUCGCCUCAUGCUGUGAUUUGUUAAUAUAGGUCCUGUGUCCUGGUUCCCACCAGUGGUCAUCUUUCUUUGAGCUAUCGGAGGAGUCUGAGGUGGGCAUCUUGCCACCCGGGGACUGGAACUGACUUUUGAGAGGGACCCUUAGGUAUGAAAGGAGAUUUGCUGGUAGGGUUAAGACCAGAGGGUUUGAGGGGUCCACAAGGUCCCUGGCGAUUAGUCUUUGUUUCUUAUUUCUUUAUUUCAAAGGAAGAGAGAAAUAUUUCAUCCCUUAGUUUCCUUCCCUAGUGCCCACAACAGCUGGAACUGUAUCUGAAGCCAGGGCCUGGGAACUCAAUCCAAGUCUCCUAUGUGAGUGGCAGGGAUGUAAGUACUUGAGUCUUCACCUGCUGCCUCCCAGGGUGGAUUAGCAGGAAGCUGGAAUCAGGACUUCAGCCAGGACUUGAUCCUGGGCACUCUAACAUGGGCUGUGGGGAUUCCAGCAGUGGCUUAGCCACUAUACCAGAAGCCAUUCCUUGAUUAGUCUUCCGUUCCCUCCUUCACAGGGUGGCUGGCUGCUUGGGAGGGGUUUGCAUCACCACUGCUAACAGGGCCUGCUGCAUAAUUUUGUGAGCGCCUUGUUCCUAAGGCAGGGAUAAAGUGCCACUAAAGGUACUAAGUCAUAAAGCUCUUUCCUUUCUCCCGCAUACCUCCUUGGCUCAGCCUCAUGUUCUUUGGACUCGCUUACAAACCGAGGAUUUUGAGUCACCACCAGCAGAGGUUUACACCCAGUGAAGGCCCUUCUGAGUACCAGCGCUGUGUGAUGGCUCCUUUGUGACCAUGUAGGCUGCGCUCGUGAGGUUGGCCUUGGCUGCUGAGUAUAACCCAUUGGCUGUGACUGUAUAAGAUUACAUUGUAUUCCAACAUAAGCGGUUGCUAUUUUGUAUGAUAAUUCUGAUAUUUCACCAUUAAAGCAAUGCUGCAGGGAGCAACGUGGAUUAUCCAUACCAGAGCAUUCCUGGAACUGUUUUGAUGACUUGUGUUAGUUCAGAAUCACUAGGUCUUUGCUAGCAUUCUGCAGUAGGCAAUGGCAUUGCAGGCCAGCUCUCUCCCUAGCACAAGGCUAACCGCGUUGAAAUUUACACAGGUGUUGAACAGAUCUCCGCACCUGCAGUGUGGAAAAGACUAGAGCAGUGCCCUCUUGUGCCUGACUGCCCUUCUUUCUGCCUCUUUGCUUUGUACAUUAUUAAAUGUGCUCUCAAACCACUAGGACUCACAGCUGAAAAUAAAGUAGGUUGGUGGACAGUCA
RNAcentral lists this long non-coding RNA (4160 nucleotides) under Oryctolagus cuniculus (rabbit). RNAcentral's name for it is "lncRNA (ENSOCUG00000036039.1)". Lineage: Eukaryota; Metazoa; Chordata; Mammalia; Lagomorpha; Leporidae. The record is from RNAcentral.